UAGGGAAUUGUUCGCAAUGGGCGCAAGCCUGACGACGCAACGCCGCGUGGAGGAUGAAGAUCUUCGGGUCGUAAACUCCUUUCGAUCGAGACGAAUAGUCCUGGGGUGAACAGCCCUGGGAAAUGACGGUACCGAGAGAAGAAGCCCCGGCUAACUCCGUGCCAGCAGCCGCGGUAAUACGGGGGGGGCAAGCGUUGUUCGGAAUUACUGGGCGUAAAGGGCUCGUAGGUGGCCAACUAAGUCAGACGUGAAAUCCCUCGGCUUAACCGGGGAACUGCGUCUGAUACUGGAUGGCUUGAGUUUGGGAGAGGGAUGCGGAAUUCCAGGUGUAGCGGUGAAAUGCGUAGAUAUCUGGAGGAACACCGGUGGCGAAGGCGGCAUCCUGGACCAACACUGACACUGAGGAGCGAAAGCCAGGGGAGCAAACGG
RNAcentral lists this ribosomal RNA (429 nucleotides) under uncultured bacterium. Its description in RNAcentral is "bacterial SSU rRNA". It matches the Rfam family "Bacterial small subunit ribosomal RNA", at positions 355 to 775 of the family's 1533-position model. The record is from RNAcentral.